RNAcentral lists this ribosomal RNA (253 nucleotides) under uncultured prokaryote. RNAcentral's name for it is "partial 16S ribosomal RNA". It matches the Rfam family "Bacterial small subunit ribosomal RNA", at positions 525 to 777 of the family's 1533-position model. The record is from RNAcentral.
ACGAAGGGGGCUAGCGUUGUUCGGAAUCACUGGGCGUAAAGGGCGCGUAGGCGGCCGAUCAAGUCGGGGGUGAAAGCCUGUGGCUCAACCACAGAAUUGCCUUCGAUACUGUUUGGCUUGAGACCGGAAGAGGUAAGUGGAACUGCGAGUGUAGAGGUGAAAUUCGUAGAUAUCAGGAGGAACACCGGAGGCGAAGGCGGCCAUCUGGCGAGACAUUGACGCUAAGGUGCGAAAGCGUGGGUAGCAAACAGGA